This is a non-coding RNA of Peniophora sp. CONT, 117 nucleotides long. The record is from Rfam. NCBI's taxonomy places the organism in Eukaryota, Fungi, Basidiomycota, Agaricomycetes, Russulales, Peniophoraceae.
GCCCCCUUCGGGGUGGCAUACGAAAAAAUUGGAACGAUACAGAGAAGAUUAGCAUGGCCCCUGCACAAGGAUGACACGCUUCUCCAGAGUGGUAGACCUACGGGUCUCAAUAUUUAU